CUCUCUCUCUCUGUCUCUGGAAAGGGGAGCCUCUUCCUUCUUUCUUGUCUAUCAAAUUAUCUGCUCCCUAAAACCACUCCACAUGUGUCC
Sapajus apella (tufted capuchin) is the source of this 90-nucleotide long non-coding RNA. RefSeq lists it as uncharacterized. The transcript is spliced from 3 exons. NCBI's taxonomy places the organism in Eukaryota, Metazoa, Chordata, Mammalia, Primates, Cebidae. The record is from RefSeq and is a predicted model, not a curated record.